Molecule: transfer RNA, 72 nt
Filed under: Diaphorina citri (Asian citrus psyllid)
Lineage: Eukaryota; Metazoa; Arthropoda; Insecta; Hemiptera; Psyllidae
Rfam family: tRNA
About the family: Transfer RNA (tRNA) molecules are approximately 80 nucleotides in length.
Source: Rfam by way of RNAcentral
GCCUUGGUGGUGUAGUGGUCAAGACGUUCGCCUGUUAAAUAGAAGGGCAUGGGUUCGAUCCCAGCCAAGGCA